UACAGAGGGUGCGAGCGUUGUCCGGAAUCACUGGGCGUAAAGGGCGCGUAGGCGGCUUGAUAAGCGUGCGGUGAAAGCCCGGGGCUCAACCCCGGGUCGGCCGUGCGAACUGUCGAGCUGGAGCACUGUAGAGGCAGGUGGAAUUCCGGGUGUAGCGGUGGAAUGCGUAGAGAUCCGGAAGAACACCGGUGGCGAAGGCGGCAUCCUGGACCAAUACUGACGCUGAGGAGCGAAAGCCAGGGGAGCAAACGGG
Molecule: ribosomal RNA, 253 nt
Filed under: uncultured bacterium
Lineage: Bacteria
Description: partial 16S ribosomal RNA
Rfam family: Bacterial small subunit ribosomal RNA
Source: RNAcentral